GUCUACGGCCAUAGUCUACGAAUAAGCCCGAUCCCAUGUGAUCGUGGAAGCUAAGCAGGGUCAGGCCUGGUUAGUACAUGGAUGGGAGACCACCUAGGAAUACCAGGUGCUGUAGGCG
This 118-nucleotide ribosomal RNA is filed under the name Pteropus alecto (black flying fox). Lineage: Eukaryota; Metazoa; Chordata; Mammalia; Chiroptera; Pteropodidae. The record is from RNAcentral.